RNAcentral lists this ribosomal RNA (253 nucleotides) under uncultured bacterium. RNAcentral's name for it is "partial 16S ribosomal RNA". It matches the Rfam family "Bacterial small subunit ribosomal RNA", at positions 524 to 776 of the family's 1533-position model. The record is from RNAcentral.
UACGUAGGGGGCGAGCGUUGUCCGGAUUUAUUGGGCGUAAAGAGCUCGUAGGCGGUUUGUCGCGUCUGCUGUGAAAACUCGGGGCUUAACCCCGGGCCUGCAGUGGGUACGGGCAGACUAGAGUGCGGUAGGGGAGACUGGAAUUCCUGGUGUAGCGGUGAAAUGCGCAGAUAUCAGGAGGAACACCGGUGGCGAAGGCGGGUCUCUGGGCCGAUACUGACGCUGAGGAGCGAAAGCGUGGGGAGCAAACAGG